This 1395-nucleotide long non-coding RNA is filed under the name Homo sapiens (human). RNAcentral describes it as "HSALNT0366362". Lineage: Eukaryota; Metazoa; Chordata; Mammalia; Primates; Hominidae. The record is from RNAcentral.
CUUCUGCUUCCAUGGAUCCUUCUUCAUACUUUCAUGUUGACUCUCCUCCCAUUCUGGAGAUUAUCUCCUUGUUAGUCUUCCUUCCUCACUAGUCUACUUUCCUUCCUCACUGGUCUACUUUCCUUCCUCUCUAGUCUACCUUCCUUCCUUACUCGUCUACCUUCUUUCCUUAUUAGUCACUUUCUUACCAGUCUUCCUUCCUUACUAGUCUAUCUUCUUUCCUCACUCGUCUACCUUCUUUCCUUAUUAGUCACUUUCUUACCAGUCUUCCUUCCUUACUAGUCUACCUUCUUUCCUCACUCGUCUACCUUCUUUCCUUAUUAGUCACUUUCUUACCAGUCUUCCUUCCUUACUAGUCUACCUUCUUUCCUCACUCGUCUACCUUCUUUCCUUAUUAGUCACUUUCUUACCAGUCUUCCUUCCUUACUAGUCUAUCUUCUUUCCUCACUCGUCUGCCUUCUUUCCUUAUUAGUCACUUUCUUACCAGUCUUCCUUCCUUUUCUGUCUUCUUUCCUUACUCGUCUGCCUUCUUUCCUUAUUAGUCACUUUCUUACCAGUCUUCCUUCCUUACUAGUCUAUCUUCUUUCCUCACUCGUCUACCUUCUUUCCUUAUUAGUCACUUUCUUACCAGUCUUCCUUCCUUUUCUGUCUUCUUUCCUCACUCGUCUGCCUUCUUUCCUUAUUAGUCACUUUCUUACCAGUCUUCCUUCCUUACUAGUCUAUCUUCUUUCCUCACUCGUCUACCUUCUUUCCUUAUUAGUCACUUUCUUACCAGUCUUCCUUCCUUACUAGUCUAUCUUCUUUCCUCACUCGUCUGCCUUCUUUCCUUAUUAGUCACUUUCUUACCAGUCUUCCUUCCUUACUAGUCUAUCUUCUUUCCUCACUCGUCUGCCUUCUUUCCUUAUUAGUCACUUUCUUACCAGUCUUCCUUCCUUACUAGUCUGUCUUCUUUCCUCACUCGUCUACCUUCUUUCCUUAUUAGUCACUUUCUUACCAGUCUUCCUUCCUUACUAGUCUAUCUUCUUUCCUCACUCGUCUACCUUCUUUCCUUAUUAGUCACUUUCUUACCAGUCUUCCUUCCUUACUAGUCUAUCUUCUUUCCUCACUCGUCUGCCUUCUUUCCUUAUUAGUCACUUUCUUACCAGUCUUCCUUCCUUACUAGUCUGUCUUCUUUCCUCACUCGUCUGCCUUCUUUCCUUAUAGGCCUUCCUUCCUUGUGAUUACCCAGGGCUUGAUGGAAGGAGCCACAUUCUGUUUAGCUUUAAUUCCCAAUGUUUUAUACAAUACGUGGGAAGUUAAAUGGGUCUGCAAUGAAUGAACAGAGAUGUGAAAUACUGCACGUAUAUCAUCCCCACCCCAACCUCCCAAAGAAUGGUCAUUUGCUGUGCUUGGAGC